Molecule: long non-coding RNA, 217 nt
Filed under: Elaeis guineensis (African oil palm)
Lineage: Eukaryota; Viridiplantae; Streptophyta; Magnoliopsida; Arecales; Arecaceae
Description: long non-coding RNA (EGUI_LNC065169)
Source: RNAcentral
GACAACUCUUUGCCCAGAUGCUUCUCUAAGCAUAUUGCAGCCACUUGGUCUUUAAGUCAUAUGGGCUCACCUAACAGUUAUUGCCCGUACUUCUUAGUUAAAUCAGAUCUACCAUUCACAAGCAGGUGUAAAGCCGUCAUUGAGUUCCUCACCUAAUAGUUAUUGGGCUCAACCACAUCUUUAUCCCGCAGUAACUCUUUGCUAAUAGAGUGGUUGC